This is a long non-coding RNA of Saimiri boliviensis boliviensis (Bolivian squirrel monkey), 746 nucleotides long. RefSeq lists it as uncharacterized. The record is from RefSeq and is a predicted model, not a curated record. NCBI's taxonomy places the organism in Eukaryota, Metazoa, Chordata, Mammalia, Primates, Cebidae.
CCAGAGGAGGGUGUUUGGCUAGAGUUUCACCCUAAGAAGACAGGAGAAGCAGGUAGAAAAGCAAUUUAAAAAAUCAGCAUCUCUCUCUCUCUCUCUCUAGCCUAUUAUUUCCUAUUAGACACAUUCCAGAAAAAUGAAUAGAGACAAGCCCUGGCUUGGUGUGGUUUCAGAAACGUAACAGAAGGAUUAAUCUAAAAUGUCAGCCACUGUGGAGAAAGUGAACCUUCUAGAUCCCGCCAAUUUAUACAAUGAGUUUUGUGUGGACCAUCAGACACAAAGGCUGACUGGUGAAGGUGACUGUUGUCUGGAAAGUUUUCCCAGCUCUCCUCUACUUAUCUCAUAAGGACCGGUGGCCCCUUAGCUUGCUUGCGAUAACAUGCACAGAAAUAUGGGCCAACUCUUCACAUGAGCACAAGAUAUUUCCAUGCUAGCUUUUUGCAAGUAACUGACAACAGAGAGAGCUCUAUGCAGUUUUCACUGGAAUGCCUAUGGAUUACUUGUGCCGUAACUGUAAUCUAAAGAGUUGUCCAUUUGUUGAAUCCUCCCUAUUUGUAUUGGUAGAAUUGGCACUAUCAAACCAAGAUCAUUCUUUGGAAAGAUCUUUAGCUGUCUUUAUAUCAACUUCUCUGGAGCGUAUGUGAUUUUCCAGAAAAUUUCCAAGACGUAAUUUUGUCCCUAAGUCCCAUGAAUAUGUAAUAUUUUGUGUCUCUCUAUUAAAAUAGCACUUUUGUGCAUUGCAUCAACAA